This 253-nucleotide ribosomal RNA is filed under the name uncultured bacterium. Its description in RNAcentral is "partial 16S ribosomal RNA". It matches the Rfam family "Bacterial small subunit ribosomal RNA", at positions 524 to 776 of the family's 1533-position model. The record is from RNAcentral.
UACAGAGGGUGCAAGCGUUAAUCGGAAUUAUUGGGCGUAAAGCGCAUGUAGGUGGUUUGUUAAGUUUGAUGUGAAAGCCCUGGGCUUAACCUGGGAAUGGCGUUGAAGACUGACAGACUGGAGUCGGAGAGAGGGUCGUGGAAUUUCCGGUGUAGCGGUGAAAUGCGUAGAGAUCGGAAGGAAUAUCGAUGGCGAAGGCAGCGACCUGGUUCCAGACUGACACUGAGGUGCGAGAGCGUGGGGAGCAAACAGG